This 253-nucleotide ribosomal RNA is filed under the name uncultured bacterium. RNAcentral describes it as "partial 16S ribosomal RNA". It matches the Rfam family "Bacterial small subunit ribosomal RNA", at positions 524 to 776 of the family's 1533-position model. The record is from RNAcentral.
UACAGAGGGUGCGAGCGUUAAUCGGAGUUACUGGGCGUAAAGGGCGCGUAGGCGGUGAUAUGUGAGUGAUGUGAAAGCCCCGGGCUUAACCUGGGAAGUGCAUCGCAGACUAUAUAACUGGAGUAUAAGAGAGGGUGGCGGAAUUUCCGGUGUAGCGGUGAAAUGCGUAGAGAUCGGAAGGAACGUCAAUGGCGAAGGCAGCCACCUGGCUUAAUACUGACACUGAGGCGCGAGAGCGUGGGGAGCAAACAGG